GGGGAAUAUUGGGCAAUGGGCGCAAGCCUGACCCAGCAACGCCGCGUGAGGGAAGAAGGCUUUCGGGUUGUAAACCUCUGUCCUUGGUGACGAAACAAAUGACGGUAGCCAAGGAGGAAGCCCCGGCUAACUACGUGCCAGCAGCCGCGGUAAUACGUAGGGGGCGAGCGUUGUCCGGAAUUACUGGGCGUAAAGGGUGCGUAGGUGGCCUUUUAAGUUGGAUGUGAAAUACCCGGGCUUAACUUGGGGGGUGCAUCCAAAACUGGAAGGCUAGAGUGCAGGAGAGGAAAGCGGAAUUCCUAGUGUAGCGGUGAAAUGCGUAGAUAUUAGGAGGAACACCAGUGGCGAAGGCGGCUUUCUGGACUGUAACUGACACUGAGGCACGAAAGCGUGGGGAGCAAAC
RNAcentral lists this ribosomal RNA (403 nucleotides) under uncultured bacterium. RNAcentral describes it as "bacterial SSU rRNA". It matches the Rfam family "Bacterial small subunit ribosomal RNA", at positions 356 to 773 of the family's 1533-position model. The record is from RNAcentral.